RNAcentral lists this ribosomal RNA (253 nucleotides) under uncultured bacterium. RNAcentral describes it as "partial 16S ribosomal RNA". It matches the Rfam family "Bacterial small subunit ribosomal RNA", at positions 524 to 776 of the family's 1533-position model. The record is from RNAcentral.
UACGUAGGUGGCAAGCGUUGUCCGGAUUUACUGGGCGUAAAGAGCGCGCAGGCGGUCGUUCAAGUCGCGUGUGAAAGCCCCCGGCUCAACUGGGGAGGGUCACGCGAUACUGAUCGACUCGAAGGCAGGAGGGGGUAGCGGAAUUCCAGGUGUAGCGGUGAAAUGCGUAGAUAUCUGGAGGAACACCGGUGGCGAAGGCGGCAUUCUGGACUACAACUGACACUGAGGAACGAAAGCCAGGGGAGCAAACGGG